Molecule: ribosomal RNA, 1019 nt
Filed under: Oenococcus oeni
Lineage: Bacteria; Bacillati; Bacillota; Bacilli; Lactobacillales; Lactobacillaceae
Description: bacterial LSU rRNA
Rfam family: Bacterial large subunit ribosomal RNA
Source: RNAcentral
UCUCCCAAGGCUAAAUACUAACUAGUGACCGAUAGCGAACAAGUACCGUGAGGGAAAGGUGAAAAGAACCCCGGAAGGGGAGUGAAAUAGUUCUUGAAACCGUGUGCUUACAAGAAGUUCGAGGCCGUUAAUGGCUGAGAGCGUGCUUUUUGUAGAAUGAACCGGAGAGUUACGAUUGCGUGCAAGGUUAAGGUGCAAAGACUGGAGCCGUAGCGAAAGCGAGUCUUAAUAGGGCGAAUCAGUACGUAGUUGUAGACCCGAAACCGAGUGACCUAUCCAUGGUCAGGUUGAAGGUGGGGUAAUACCUACUGGAGGACCGAACAAGUGGGUGUUAAAAAACCCUUUGAUGAACUGUGGAUAGCGGUGAAAUUCCAAUCGAACUCGGAGAUAGCUGGUUCUAUCCGAAAUACAUUUAGGUGUAGCCUUGCAAUUAGCUUACUGGAGGUAGAGCACUAUUUGGUCUAGGGGCCCUUCAAGGGUUACCAAAAUCAGAUAAACUCCGAAUGCCAGCUAAGUAUGUGCAGGAGUCAGACGGUGAGUGAUAAGAUCCAUCGUCAAAAGGGGAACAGCCCAGAUCACCAGUUAAGGUCCCUAAAUAUAUGCUAAGUGGAAAACGUUGUGAAGGUGCAUAGACAACUAGGAGGUUGGCUCAGAAGCAGCCACCCUUUAAAGAGUGCGUAAUAGCUCACUAGUCGAGUGCUCUUGCGCGGAUAAUGUACCGGGGCUAAGCAUAUUACCGAAACUGUGGAUGCGUAAGCAUGGUAGGAUAGCGUAAUUAACGCGAUGAAGGAUGACCGUAAGGACAUGUUGGAGCGUUAACUAGUGAGAAUUCCGGUAUGAGUAGCGAAAGAUAGGUGAGAAUCCUAUCCACCGAAUGAGUAAGGUUUCCCCCGGAAGGCUCGUCCGCGGGGGGUUAGUCGGGACCUAAGGCGAGGCUGAAAAGCGUAGUCGAUGGACAACAGGUUGAUAUUCCUGUACCGAUAUUUAAUUGCCGAAGGAAGGACGCAGAAGGAUAACAC